This 55-nucleotide antisense RNA is filed under the name Sinorhizobium meliloti GR4. Its description in RNAcentral is "IncA". The stretch from base 11 to 55 matches the Rfam family "ctRNA". From Rfam's summary of the family: This family represents a group of ctRNAs (or counter-transcribed RNAs) from p42d and related plasmids. ctRNAs are small, highly structured, antisense sequences which are involved in negative regulation. Members of this family are known to bind to the mRNA of repC causing translational repression. This model contains the predicted stem-loop structure followed by a U-rich tract which is proposed to act as a Rho-independent transcriptional terminator. The record is from RNAcentral. Lineage: Bacteria; Pseudomonadati; Pseudomonadota; Alphaproteobacteria; Hyphomicrobiales; Rhizobiaceae.
CUUAGAUAUGAGAGAGGCUUCCACGACGGCGACGUUUGGGGGGCCUUUUUCUUUU